Molecule: ribosomal RNA, 394 nt
Filed under: uncultured bacterium
Lineage: Bacteria
Description: partial 16S ribosomal RNA
Rfam family: Bacterial small subunit ribosomal RNA
Source: RNAcentral
AUACGGAGGAUGCAAGCGUUAUCCGGAUUUAUUGGGUUUAAAGGGUGCGUAGGCGGAUGAUUAAGCGUGAGGUGAAAUGCCACUGCUCAACAGUGGAACUGCCUCGCGAACUGGUUGUCUUGAAUGCUCCUGCCGUGGGAGGAAUGUGUGGUGUAGCGGUGAAAUGCAUAGAGAUCACACAGAACACCGAUUGCGAAGGCAUCUCACGAAGGGGUGAUUGACGCUGAGGCACCAAAGCGUGGGGAUCAAACAGGAUUAGAUACCCUGGUAGUCCACGCAGUAAACGAUGAUAACUAACCGCUGGGUCGUAGUGAUUCAGUGGCCAAGCGAAAGCGAUAAGUUAUCCACCUGGGGAGUACGACCGCAAGGUUGAAACUUAAAGGAAUUGACGGGG